GUGGGGAAUCUUGCGCAAUGGGCGAAAGCCUGACGCAGCCAUGCCGCGUGAAUGAUGAAGGUCUUAGGAUUGUAAAAUUCUUUCACCGGGGACGAUAAUGACGGUACCCGGAGAAGAAGCCCCGGCUAACUUCGUGCCAGCAGCCGCGGUAAUACGAAGGGGGCUAGCGUUGCUCGGAAUUACUGGGCGUAAAGGGCGCGUAGGCGGACAGUUUAGUCAGAGGUGAAAGCCCAGGGCUCAACCUUGGAAUUGCCUUUGAUACUGGCUGUCUUGAGUACGGGAGAGGUGAGUGGAACUCCGAGUGUAGAGGUGAAAUUCGUAGAUAUUCGGAAGAACACCAGUGGCGAAGGCGACAUACUGGUCCAUUACUGACGCUGAGGCUCGAAAGCGUGGGGAGCAAACAGGAUUAGAAACCCCGGUAGUCC
This 425-nucleotide ribosomal RNA is filed under the name uncultured bacterium. RNAcentral describes it as "partial 16S ribosomal RNA". It matches the Rfam family "Bacterial small subunit ribosomal RNA", at positions 354 to 796 of the family's 1533-position model. The record is from RNAcentral.